GCAAGCUUAACUCAGUUGGUAGAGUGACUCCCUGAAGAGGAGAUGGUCGGAGGUUCAAAUCCUUCAGCUUGCACCA
RNAcentral lists this transfer RNA (76 nucleotides) under Serratia sp. (in: enterobacteria). RNAcentral's name for it is "tRNA-Phe". It matches the Rfam family "tRNA". From Rfam's summary of the family: Transfer RNA (tRNA) molecules are approximately 80 nucleotides in length. Their secondary structure includes four short double-helical elements and three loops (D, anti-codon, and T loops). The record is from RNAcentral. Lineage: Bacteria; Pseudomonadati; Pseudomonadota; Gammaproteobacteria; Enterobacterales; Yersiniaceae.